This 3470-nucleotide long non-coding RNA is filed under the name Homo sapiens (human). RNAcentral describes it as "non-protein coding lnc-FAM110C-1:3". Lineage: Eukaryota; Metazoa; Chordata; Mammalia; Primates; Hominidae. The record is from RNAcentral.
CACAAAGAAAAAAGAAAUACCUGUAGAAGCGCAUCGAAAGCUCCUGGAACAGAGUUGUGUCUCAUAUUUGCAAAGAUGCAGAAAAAAUAAACCCGGGACAUCCAGCUUUCUUUUCCUUUCUUCUUUGACUAUUCUGAGAAGCUAUGCGACUAGGAGCACAUUUUAGGUAAACACGUGGCUUGAGUAGCCAUAAGGCCACUCUUCCCUGUCGUGUGACCCGCGCCUGGGCCUUUAAGAGAUAUUGGUGUUUGAAAAGGGAGGAAUCUGUUUGCCCUCAGAUAUUUAGUUCAACUGCCUGCAUUGCUUCCUAUUUUGUUGUCCAACUCUGUAGUAGUUAGCACUGGCCUUACCAACAUGUAAAGAAAUUUUCUUUACUGCCCCAUGAGUAGUUGGAGGCAAAGAGAAAUUUUUAAAGCGCAGAAAAAGGCCUGCAGGGAGAUGGAAUUUGUUCUGCCAGAGAAACGAGAUGAUAGCUGUAUUUAAUAAAGUUACUGACCUCUUGUCAAAAUUUAAAACGCAAAAGAAGAUGUUUCAAAAUGCAGAGAAUGUCAGAAAACAAAAACUACAGGGACCAGACCAGUAUAAUGUUUAGUUUUCAUUAUACUAACUUUUGUCUAGACUGGAGUUGAUUCACUAUUUUUUCUUUAACUCCUCAGGAAGCAAACCUUCCCGAUGAUGAAGACUUCUUGAAGGAUUUCAUGGGUGAUUUGGGAUCCCAGGACCAUUUGGCUAGUGUGCCUAGGUGACCACAUGAUUGCUGUUUUACCAGGAAUGCAGCAUCCCAUUGACAAAACAAGUGCUCUGAGAAGGUUUAAAAUACUACAGAGAAUAUGGGAACACAGACCUUGAAAUUUAGCUGAGUUGUAACAGCUGAAACUCCAAGAGGUGUCUUCCUUGUUUGAGGUGAAACUAGUGUUGCUUCCAGAGGGCAGCUGGAAACCGUAAAGCUGUUUGGAAAUCUUUUUGACUGACUUGCUGACAAAGAGGUACUGUGAUGCAUUUUAACAAUAUCUAAGUUGAUUUUUUUUUAAAUCAAGGAAAAUAAAAACCAAGCAUGAAUGCUAUGGUAUGUGCCCCUUUUGACCAUCCUGGGCUGAUUAACAUCAUUUAAAUCAAAGUAAUCAUAAAAAGGCAUAUUCUACUUCAAUUAUGUGGUCAAAUAAGAGUAAACACACACACUCACACAUGCUGACCCCAAUUGCCAGAGCAUUACUGCACUAUAAAUUACGGUUAAUUCCCAAAUUAUACUACUGUUUAUCUUAUUUAACAAGUCAGAAAGCACUUUUAAAAUAACUUGAGGGCUACAAGGUCAUUCUAUUAAUGUCAUUCUCCAUUCGGGUUGUAGGCAUGUGGAAGUACCCAUUAAAAGAUAAGUUAGAGUUUAAAUACUGAUAAACAAAACCUUUUAUUGCAACUGGACAGUUUCUGGAGAGUUAGCGGAAGAAUCUUGGAGUUUCCUUUGGUCAGAUGAAUACAACAUUUCACUUUUGCAGCACUAUUUAGAAUGUACUCCAUGGUUCUCUUGUUCCCAACUUCCAAAAAGAACAGAAAACUUUGGUUUACACAGAACACGGGCAUCUGAGGCAGGACCUCUUCCCUGCCCUUUGAUCUGACUCACACCUCCACAUAUGACGUAAUCAACCCAAAUUUGACACCAAUUCACUCUUUUCUGCAAAGGGCAUAUUUUGAAACAAGGGACAGCCUGAGGGCGGCUAUAAUGAGAAUGUUCAUGGGGGUUACUGGGUCCCUAAUUCUGAACUUGCUUAUGACACCCAGAGUGAAUAGAUUCAGAUUCAGAACCUUCUGAGAAAUAACCCAAAGAAAAUUUGUUACCCAGCCAAUUCUUCGAAAGCUUAAUAUCAAAAUAUAUCUUUUCAAGAAGAAAAUCGUUAGAGAGAAGAAUGUGGAGGGGAGAGAAAUGGGUUUCUCAUUGAUAUGAUAUUUUGUUAACCAUUUCAUUUUGAAUUAUUCAAGUUUUGGUUAAUAUUGUAUUCUUUUUUCGUAACUAUUUUACCGUGAGAGUAGGUCAUUGGGUUACUUAGAUAUUUAUUUUUACACAGUUAUUAGUCUUCAGAUAGUUUUAUUUUACUUCAUAUGAUUUUAGUUUUUGUCAGUAUAAUUUUAAAUCAUGUUUUUCUUGGUCAUCUCUUUGUGUAUAUUGUGUAAUUGGAUUUUCAUUGACUGCAAGUGGAGUGUUUGCCACUCAAUUCAGUACUCAGUACUAUGGUGACUUGUUUUCAAAUAAGUCUCAGAUACACAUUUAGGGAGCCUUUGCUGGCCGAAUAUAGACUCUGUCAGGACAGCAGGUCCCCUGAUCUAAGAAUUUUCCCCAAUGGUUGCUCUAAAAAUGCUGCUAUUUUGCUGUUCACUGUAUUGCACUUAGUUAAAAAGAAGAUAAUGUGAAAGAUGAGAGCAGUUUUUUAAAGGAUCUUUUCAUAUACCCAAUUCCCUUAUUUUCAGAUGUCCCAUCAAUUUUAGAUAUGAAAGCUUUAAGUAAAAGUGUGUAUGCCUUUCUACUGUCAGAACAGGAUGGAUGCAGCCUGGGUCAGAUUUAUUUAAGAUAAAAAUCAUGCAGACUCAUCAUUCAUAUCAUAGGUGAAAAAUGUAAAAACCAAAUGGUUUCCACUAAAGCCACCAAGAUCUUUUAGAAAUGUUUGCACCUUUGGUGGUGGCACAGGAAAAGAGAAGAAUUCAGCUGGAGUGAAUUCUAGAAGUAGAUAUCAGAAACGGGGCAUGAAGAACAGGGGAACUGGGUGGCAUCAGACUCCUAAAGAAGUGAGUUAAUUUUCCUUCCCUUCCAUUCAGAUUCAUGCCACAGCUCCAUAUCUUGAGUAUGUGUAAGAGGUGAGUUCCUUCUUCAGCCAGGGGCGGUGGCUCAUGCCUUUAAUCCCAAUGCUUUGGGAGGCCAAGGUGGGAGGAUCACUUGUGCCUUGGGGUUCAAGGUUGCAGUGAACCAUGAUUGCACCACUGCACUCCAGCCUGAGUGACAGAGCAAGACCCUGUCUCUAAAAAUAUAUAUAAAAAGUAAAACUAAAGAACUUCUUGCCUAAACCUGAAUUACCGCAAUUUGCUGAGUGACUUUGAGAAAAAUCAGACUGUUUAGUUCAGUCGGGAUGAAAAGCUUGCGAUUGCUUCCCACAAGAAUGGGCAAUAGUGACGGCUGCAAGGUACUUUUAUUUGUUCAUGAAAGAACGACAAUUUUUCAAAAUGUAAUUAAACAUAAUAGAAUGUUUUAAACUACUGGGCACUGAAACUGGAAGAAAAAGGAGGCUUUAUUGAACAUUCCCCUUUUUCAGUUGGUUCAAAGUUCAGCACUGUGGUUAUCAUUGGUGAUGCCAGAAAACAUUAGUAGACUUAGACAAUUGCUAUGGCAGUUUCUAAACAGAGCUUUUUCUAUACACUAUUUGCAACUGGAGUGCAAUAUUGUAUAUUCUGUGUUAAAGAAAUAAAGUAUUUUUAUCAUUUAUUAA